This 422-nucleotide ribosomal RNA is filed under the name uncultured bacterium. Its description in RNAcentral is "partial 16S ribosomal RNA". It matches the Rfam family "Bacterial small subunit ribosomal RNA", at positions 360 to 774 of the family's 1533-position model. The record is from RNAcentral.
AAUUUUGGACAAUGGGGGAAACUCUGAUCCAGCCAUCCCGCGGGCAUGCUGAAGGCCUUCGGGUUGUAAAGUACUUUUGGCAGAGAAGAAAAGUUACCCCCUAAUACGAGGUACUGCUGACGGUAUCUGCAGAAUAAGCACCGGCUAACUACGCGCCAGCAGCCUGGGUAAUACGUAGGGUGCAAGCGUUAAUCGGAAUUACUGGGCGUAAAGCGUGUGUAGGCGGUUCGGAAAGAAAGAUGUGAAAUCCCAGGGCUCAACCUUGGAACUGCAUUUUUAACUGCCGAGCUAGAGUAUGUCAGAGGGGGGUAGAAUUCAACGUGUAGCAGUGAAAUGCGUAGAUAUGUGGAGGAAUACCGAUGGCGAAGGCAGCCCCCUGGGAUAAUACUGACGCUCAGACACGAAAGCGUGGGGAGCAAACA